RNAcentral lists this transfer RNA (85 nucleotides) under Felis catus (domestic cat). It matches the Rfam family "tRNA". From Rfam's summary of the family: Transfer RNA (tRNA) molecules are approximately 80 nucleotides in length. Lineage: Eukaryota; Metazoa; Chordata; Mammalia; Carnivora; Felidae. The record is from Rfam by way of RNAcentral. RNAcentral also lists the same sequence under 2 other names.
GCCUGGGUGGCUCAGUUGGUUAAGCAUCUGACUUUGGCUCAGAUCGUCAUCUCACGGUUUGUGAGUUCGAGCCCCGCGUCGGGCU